AUUGAACGCUGGCGGCAGGCUUAACACAUGCAAGUCGAGCGGAGAUGAGGUGCUUGCACCUUAUCUUAGCGGCGGACGGGUGAGUAAUGCUUAGGAAUCUGCCUAUUAGUGGGGGACAACAUUCCGAAAGGAAUGCUAAUGCCGCAUACGUCCUACGGGAGAAAGCAGGGGAUCUUCGGACCUUGCGCUAAUAGAUGAGCCUAAGUCGGAUUAGCUAGUUGGUGGGGUAAAGGCCUACCAGGGCGACGAUCUGUAGCGGGUCUGAGAGGAUGAUCCGCCACACUGGGACUGAGACACGGCCCAGACUCCUACGGGAGGCAGCAGUGGGGAAUAUUGGACAAUGGGGGGAACCCUGAUCCAGCCAUGCCGCGUGUGUGAAGAAGGCCUUAUGGUUGUAAAGCACUUUAAGCGAGGAGGAGGCUACUGAGACUAAUACUCUUGGAUAGUGGACGUUACUCGCAGAAUAAGCACCGGCUAACUCUGUGCCAGCCGCCGCAGUAA
Molecule: ribosomal RNA, 501 nt
Filed under: uncultured bacterium
Lineage: Bacteria
Description: partial 16S ribosomal RNA
Rfam family: Bacterial small subunit ribosomal RNA
Source: RNAcentral